RNAcentral lists this long non-coding RNA (1584 nucleotides) under Marmota monax (woodchuck). Lineage: Eukaryota; Metazoa; Chordata; Mammalia; Rodentia; Sciuridae. The record is from RNAcentral.
UGCUGAACCAACAGCUUCCUACAUCUGACUACUGGUUCUUUUCUUUAUAGCAAACAAAAAUGAGCAUAACCCCUAUCAGUGGCAGACUUUUAGCUAUUUAGGAGUUCUUUCCUUUACUAUGAAUGCUCUUAAUUUUCAUCAAGCUAAAGAUUCUCAAUUCCUGUAAUGGUUCCUCACAAGGCACACUUCUGUUCUUUCACCACUGGAUUUUUCUCUUCUAAAGAAAUAUACUUUACCUGAAAUACAGCAAUUAAGAUUAAAGUAUCUUAAUAAGUGAACCAAGUACUGGAACCAAGUACAACAUUCCAGAAGUUGUCAGACCAGAAGAGCUAGCAACUGCCAUUUUCUGAACAAAGCACUUCUGUUAAAUCAUGUAAGGUAACAUGAGAUGUUUUUGGAAACUACAAGACAGGAUAGGCUUACCGCAAAGUUUUGAAAGAGAGUCAUUAUUCACUUACAUACAUCUUCGAGUUCAACUAUAUGCCAUUGGUUGAACCAGCUGUUGGAGAUAUGAUGAUAUGAUGACCCACAAGGUGCCUUUCUUAUCUUGACUGACUGUGAAGAUCCUGGGGAGUUCAAAGGCCUUGAGAAAGUCAUGGUACAAUGAGGAAGAGCAAUCAGGAUAAGAUGACAAGAGUAUGACAAGAGUAGUGUGCAAAAAGACCAAAGAUUCAGUCAGAGAAAGCUAGGGAUCUGAUUGUGUGAGGUCUUGUGACCAUGAUAAAAUAUUUUGAGGUCAUUCUAAGUGAGGUAUGAAACUAUUAGAGGUUAAAAACAUGAGUGACACAAUAUGGUUCUUUGUUUAAGCUCAGUCUGGCUAUUGAGUGGGGAAAUGUCUAUAGACAGGAAGAAAUGGGAAUAGGAGUCCAGUUAGGAGACCUUUGGAAUAUUCCAGGCAAAAGAUGGUCAUGCUUUGCUAGGUAUUGGUGGCACUUGCUUGUAAUCCCAGUGACUCUGGAGGCUGAGGCAGGAGGAUUACAAGUUUGAGACCAGACUCAGAAAUUUAGCAAAACCCUGUCUCAAAACAAAAAACAAAAAGGGAUGGGGAUGUAGCUUGGAGUAGAGUGCUGUUGGCUUCAAUCCCCAGCACCACCACUGAAGUGGCACCCCCUUUCUCCACAGAAAAGUCCUCUUCACCAUGGCUGAUUCUAGGACUGUCAGCAAAAGAGUCUCUGCGAAAGAGUCCAAUGUAGAUAAACUUCCUAUUUUAUCUAUAUAAGGAUACCAGCACUCCAGGUGCUGGACACCCUCUUACUAGUUUUUCACAAACGUAUCCAGUAUAGUACUUUGUAGAAAUGUGCAAACAAGGCCUCUGACCUUGAGCUGGGGCUUCACAGAGAUGUCUACAUUUUUAAGAUAAGUUACAAAUGGGCUCCAUGGUAACAGCUGGCAGGGGAGGAAAGAAAGGGGAGAAGAAUCUCUCCCCUUCUCAGGUGUUGUCCUUGAAGAGUUAACUUGCCCAGAACAGUGAAAGAAAAAGCUGCUUUUAUGUGAACUUCUGCAGACUAUGAACUUCUGAGCCCCUCCCCUUACAUGCUGGGUAUAAAACUCUGAAUCUAUCUGAACUCUGGGUUCAGGGGAUUG